UACAGAGGUCCCAAGCGUUGUUCGGAUUCACUGGGCGUAAAGGGUGCGUAGGCGGUCGGGUAAGUCUGAUGUGAAAUCUCACAGCUUAACUGUGAAACUGCAUUGGAUACUAUCCGGCUCGAGGAAUGGAGGGGAGACUGGAAUACUUGGUGUAGCAGUGAAAUGCGUAGAUAUCAAGUGGAACACCAGUGGCGAAGGCGAGUCUCUGGACAUUUCCUGACGCUGGGGCACGAAAGCCAGGGGAGCGAACGGG
RNAcentral lists this ribosomal RNA (253 nucleotides) under uncultured bacterium. RNAcentral's name for it is "partial 16S ribosomal RNA". It matches the Rfam family "Bacterial small subunit ribosomal RNA", at positions 524 to 776 of the family's 1533-position model. The record is from RNAcentral.